This 253-nucleotide ribosomal RNA is filed under the name uncultured bacterium. Its description in RNAcentral is "partial 16S ribosomal RNA". It matches the Rfam family "Bacterial small subunit ribosomal RNA", at positions 524 to 776 of the family's 1533-position model. The record is from RNAcentral.
UACGGGGGGGGCAAGCGUUGUUCGGAAUUACUGGGCGUAAAGGGCUCGUAGGCGGCCAACUAAGUCAGACGUGAAAUCCCUCGGCUUAACCGGGAAACUGCGUCUGAUACUGGAUGGCUUGAGGUUGGGAGAGGGAUGCGGAAUUCCAGGUGUAGCGGUGAAAUGCGUAGAUAUCUGGAGGAACACCGGUGGCGAAGGCGGCAUCCUGGACCAAUUCUGACGCUGAGGAGCGAAAGCCAGGGGAGCAAACGGG